UUUCGGAAACCCGUUCCUUCUUAAAGUUGCUUCCAAACAAAUCAAACUCUAUGGUUUAUAGUCAUUGCUUCUCAAAACCGCUUCCGUGUAAACCAAACUCUAUGUUAUGUUUCUAGGUGCAUAUGUUAUUAACGUUUCCUCGAUGAAUUGUUAUUUUGUCUUUGUAAGAUUCUCAGAGAACUUAGUAACCUCAUCUCAAUGAACUGGUGAUUUCAAACAUAUGGUUUCAUUUGCUCAAUGGAAAGUUUUUAUUUUCUCCAUUUAACGGUUUUCAUUACUAACUCGAUUAAACAUUGUGUGCUCUUAAGAUGAGAGAGAAGGGAGAGAAAACGGAUCGGUUGAGCAUGUUUAUAAAAACAAGAACAAAGAAAACAAAGAAUGAUGACAUAGACCUUUUCGAUGAGGAAAGUGGCGGCAUUAUUAAUCAAUUUAAUCAAUGCUUGGGAGAAAGGGAAGAGCAUGAGCAAGAUGAGGAUUAUCGAGAGGAGGUGUUUACUAGAGUUAUGGGACCUGAUGCACAUGGACGUGUUCGCAUGUAUGGAACAGGUAUAACUCCAUCUCAUGUGUUUGGUCAAAGUUCACGAUCUUCCAAUGUUAAUGAGGACACCAUACAAGAAGAGGUAGAAAGACAAUAUAAGACUAAGAUAGAUGAUCUUAAGGCUAAGCAUGAAUAUGAAAUUGAAGAUCUCAGAUCCAAGUAUAGUGAAGUCAGUUUGAAACACCAUCACAUGAUGACUCAUAUUGGUUUCCAUGUUAACACAUCACCAAGCAGAAGUGGACAAGUAUAUAAAUUCGAAUGUGAUUUUGUUCUCUUUUCAAUUUAUUAGAAUAAAUUAGUGUGAAAAUUUGAGCAAUUUUGAUUUCUAUUUGUCAUUUUGGUGUUAAAUAUAGGCUCUAAAUACAUCAAGCCAUCUACAAGAAACAUAUGAGAGUAAUGAACAGCAACCUCAGUUAGACCCAGAAGCAUAGAAACAAUUGCUUUCAUAAAAGGUUUGCAUGGAGAUUGUGAUGAAGAGUCUUGAUCAUAAUUAAACUCUUGAACUAUGUUGGAGCAUAUUUGAAAGAAAAAAAAUAUGUUCAUAACUUUUGGGAUGAGAUUAUUUAUAUUUGACUCUAGUAGGAUUGUGUAUUGGGAUAUGUUGAUGAUGUACUUUCAAUGUUAUUCGGAAUUCUAAAAGCACAGUUCUUUGAUUCAUAUAUCAUUUUACUUUUGAACUUAGAAUGAUUGUGAAUAAGAUUAUAAAUUGCAACCCAAUCUUUCACUGAAC
This is a non-coding RNA of Malus domestica (apple), 1268 nucleotides long. The record is from RefSeq and is a predicted model, not a curated record. NCBI's taxonomy places the organism in Eukaryota, Viridiplantae, Streptophyta, Magnoliopsida, Rosales, Rosaceae.